ACGCUGGCGGCAGGCUUAACACAUGCAAGUCGAACGGUAACAGGGAUUAGCUUGCUAAUUUGCUGACGAGUGGCGGACGGGUGAGUAAUGCUUGGGAAUCUGGCUUAUGGAGGGGGAUAACUACGGGAAACUGUAGCUAAUACCGCGUAAUAUCGGAAGAUUAAAGGGUGGGACUUUCGAGCCACCUGCCAUAAGAUGAGCCCAAGUGGGAUUAGGUAGUUGGUUAGGUAAAGGCUGACCAAGCCGACGAUCUCUAGCUGGUCUGAGAGGAUGACCAGCCACACUGGAACUGAGACACGGUCCAGACUCCUACGGGAGGCAGCAGUGGGGAAUAUUGCACAAUGGGGGGAACCCUGAUGCAGCCAUGCCGCGUGAAUGAAGAAGGCCUUCGGGUUGUAAAGUUCUUUCAGUGACGAGGAAGGUUGAUAGGUUAAUAGCCUAUCAAAUUGACGUUAAUCACAGAAGAAGCACCGGCUAACUCCGUGCCAGCAGCCGCGGUAAUACGGGGGGUGCGAGCGUUAAUCGGAAUAACUGGGCGUAAAGGGCACGCAGGCGGUGACUUAAGUGAGAUGUGAAAGCCCCGAGCUUAACUUGGGAAUUGCAUUUCAUACUGGGUCGCUAGAGUACUUUAGGGAGGGGUAGAAUUCCACGUGUAGCGGUGAAAUGCGUAGAGAUGUGGAGGAAUACCGAAGGCGAAGGCAGCCCCUUGGGAAUGCACUGACGCUCAUGUGCGAAAGCGUGGGGAGCAAACAGGAUUAGAUACCCUGGUAGUCCACGCUGUAAACGAUGUCGAUUUGGGGAUUGGGCUUUGAGCUUGGUGCCCGUAGCUAACGUGAUAAAUCGACCGCCUGGGGAGUACGGCCGCAAGGUUAAAACUCAAAUGAAUUGACGGGGGCCCGCACAAGCGGUGGAGC
This 914-nucleotide ribosomal RNA is filed under the name uncultured bacterium. RNAcentral's name for it is "bacterial SSU rRNA". It matches the Rfam family "Bacterial small subunit ribosomal RNA", at positions 33 to 938 of the family's 1533-position model. The record is from RNAcentral.